UGCAGUCGAACGCCCUCUUUUAGAGGGAGUGGCAGACGGGUGAGUAACGCGUGGGAAACUACCUGAUGGUACGGAACAACACAGAGAAAUUUGUGCUAAUACCGUAUGUGCCCUCCGGGGGAAAGAUUUAUCGCCAUCAGAUGUGCCCGCGUUUGAUUAGCUAGUUGGUGAGGUAAUGGCUCACCAAGGCGACGAUCAAUAGCUGGUCUGAGAGGAUGAUCAGCCACACUGGGACUGAGACACGGCCCAGACUCCUACGGGAGGCAGCAGUGGGGAAUAUUGGACAAUGGGCGCAAGCCUGAUCCAGCCAUGCCGCGUGUGUGAUGAAGGCCCUAGGGUUGUAAAGCACUUUCAACGGUGAAGAUAAUGACGGUAACCGUAGAAGAAGCUCCGGCUAACUUCGUGCCAGCAGCCGCGGUAAUACGAAGGGAGCUAGCGUUGUUCGGAAUUACUGGGCGUAAAGCGCACGUAGGCGGACUAAUUAGUCAGGGGUGAAAUCCCGGGGCUCAACCCCGGAACUGCCUUUGAUACUGUUAGUCUAGAGAUCGAGAGAGGUGAGUGGAAUUCCGAGUGUAGAGGUG
RNAcentral lists this ribosomal RNA (581 nucleotides) under uncultured Alphaproteobacteria bacterium. RNAcentral's name for it is "bacterial SSU rRNA". It matches the Rfam family "Bacterial small subunit ribosomal RNA", at positions 56 to 683 of the family's 1533-position model. The record is from RNAcentral. Lineage: Bacteria; Pseudomonadati; Pseudomonadota; Alphaproteobacteria.